GCCCUUGUUGUCUAAUGGUUAUGACGUCAGACUUCUACAGCCUUUACUGGCUAGCUGGCAUCUGGAGGUUGCGGGUUCGAAUCCCGCCAGGGGUU
Molecule: transfer RNA, 95 nt
Filed under: Agaricus bisporus var. burnettii
Lineage: Eukaryota; Fungi; Basidiomycota; Agaricomycetes; Agaricales; Agaricaceae
Also listed under: 2 other names
Rfam family: tRNA
About the family: Transfer RNA (tRNA) molecules are approximately 80 nucleotides in length. Their secondary structure includes four short double-helical elements and three loops (D, anti-codon, and T loops). Further hydrogen bonds mediate the characteristic L-shaped molecular structure. tRNAs have two regions of fundamental functional importance: the anti-codon, which is responsible for specific mRNA codon recognition, and the 3' end, to which the tRNAs corresponding amino acid is attached (by aminoacyl-tRNA synthetases). tRNAs cope with the degeneracy of the genetic code in two manners: having more than one tRNA (with a specific anti-codon) for a particular amino acid; and 'wobble' base-pairing, i.e. permitting non-standard base-pairing at the 3rd anti-codon position.
Source: Rfam by way of RNAcentral